This 473-nucleotide ribosomal RNA is filed under the name uncultured eukaryote. RNAcentral describes it as "partial 18S ribosomal RNA". It matches the Rfam family "Eukaryotic small subunit ribosomal RNA", at positions 709 to 1187 of the family's 1831-position model. The record is from RNAcentral.
AGUYCCCCCCCCCCCUSGCCCCCCUCGGUGCRUAUCCCUGCGGUUCGWUCUCUUYUACUGUGAGCAAAAUAGAGUKYUCAACRCAGGCAAYYGACCCUUGAAUACUUCAGCAUGGGAUAAUGGAACAGGACUUGGGUCCUGUUUUCUUUGGUUUCCKGGAUCKCAGUAAUGAUUAAUAGGGAYAGUUGGGGGCAUUAGUAUUUARUUGUCAGAGGUGAAAUUCUUGGAUUUAUGAAAGACUAACUUCUGCGAAAGCMUUGCCAAGGAUGUUUUCAUUAAUCAAGAACGAAAGUUAGGGGAUCGAAGACGAUCAGAUACCGUCGUAGUCUUAACCAUAAACGAUGCCGACCAGCGAUUGGGAGACGUUACAUGGAUGACUCCCCCAGCAGCCUKMGAGAAAUCACAAGUCUUGGGUCCGGGGGGAGUAUGGUCGCAAGGCUGAAACUAAAGAAUGACGACAGUACAMAMAGGAA